AGAAGUAAUCAUACUUAACAUGUUUUUAUUACUGUAUUGUAUACUUAAACUUGUUAGUGUAUAAAUGUAACAUACUGUGGGUGCUGGUAGGUGAAGGAUUAGUGGUUCUUCACCACAGGACUGUUCUGUGAUGGAGCAUCAGUAAUGAUGCAGGUCAGGAGUACUGAGGGGACCAUGGUGAGAAUGAAAACAAAAGCCUCAAUCCUCAACCUCAGCCGUAUAAAUCUUUUGGAGAUUUUUCCCUCUACUCCACAGCAUGAUGGAAGCCUGCUGGAGAGUGACUGAGCUUCUUUCUCCAACACAUCCACUGCAUUGGGGAGCUCCAUGAGGUAGGAACUACUCUUGGACCUAAAUAGUUUCUCAAUUUCUUGGGUGAAGUCAUAGGCUUCUUGGGAGGGACGACAAAGAGCACCUGCCUUGAAUUCUUUUAAGUUUAGUAAGAUACUGUUAUUUCCAGCAGGAUUGUCAUCUGUUUGCCGUGUUGCAGUUUUGCAUUUUCCACAGAUGCUGGCAAAUCGGAUUAAUUUGUGGACAAUGUAGCCUGCGAGAUGGAAGAGAAUACAUUUCUCUGUUUUUGUGAGGUCAGGUGCUGUUCUGUUCUCCACCAUCAGCUGUUCCACUCUGACUGAUGGAGUGACGUUUUGUUUCACUGUUUCCAGGAAGUCUGCCAAAAAACUACUGUCAUCUUCCUGGUAGCUCCCAGAGGUGAUGGCGCUGAAGAACUGACCUACGGAUA
This 736-nucleotide long non-coding RNA is filed under the name Carassius auratus (goldfish). RNAcentral describes it as "lncRNA (ENSCARG00000028741.1)". Lineage: Eukaryota; Metazoa; Chordata; Actinopteri; Cypriniformes; Cyprinidae. The record is from RNAcentral.